This 428-nucleotide ribosomal RNA is filed under the name uncultured bacterium. RNAcentral describes it as "partial 16S ribosomal RNA". It matches the Rfam family "Bacterial small subunit ribosomal RNA", at positions 354 to 796 of the family's 1533-position model. The record is from RNAcentral.
GUAGGGAAUAUUGUGCAAUGGGGGAAACCCUGACGCAGCGACGCCGCGUGAGUGAUGAAGGCCUUCGGGUCGUAAAGCUCUGUUGCAGGGGAAUAAAAAAAUGAAGGUACCCUGUGAGGAAGGAUCGGCUAACUUCGUGCCAGCAGCCGCGGUAAGACGAGGGAUCCUAGCGUUGCUCGGAAUCAUUGGGCGUAAAGAGGGCGUAGGUGGCUUGGUAAGUCAGGUGUGAAAGCCCAGGGCUCAACCCUGGAAGUGCAUUUGAUACUGCUGAGCUUGAGUGUCGGAGAGGUUACCGGAAUACCUGGUGUAGUGGUGAAAUACGUAGAUAUCAGGUGGAACACCGGAGGCGAAGGCGGGUAACUGGACGAACACUGACACUGAGGCCCGAAAGCGUGGGGAUCAAACAGGAUUAGAUACCCUGGUAGUCC